AGGGCCCCCCUUCCAGGAGGGGCGGGAAGGAAAAAGGGGGCAGAGACGGGUAGAGGUGGGCGCUCCGGGGUGCCCUUUGCCUGCUGGGGUUCUCCGCUGCGCUCCCUCUGCUGGCUCAUAGCUGCUCCUGUGCGUCCGGGCCCCGGUCCCAUUACCCAGCCUCGGCCUCCCGCUGCGUAAGGAGGCGGGUCCUCAAGAGCCUCCCCCACAGCUUGCGUUGAGCCCCGAUGUCUUGCCCACAGCCCAGAGGCGCCGGGGUCAACUGCUGCCAGCCUGCGGCCCAGGGCGGGGGGUCAGCUCCCCGCCCGCAGGGCCGGCGCGACGUGCAGGAGCCUCCCGCGCGCCAGUCUGCACGCCGCGCACGUCCAGUGACCUCACCAUCAUGCGAAGCUGGCAGAGUUCUGAGCACAUCGCCCACUGGGCGUCCUGUAGGAGAACCUGUAACAGCAAUGCUGCCCUCUCUUUCCAGAAAUGAAUCGUCUACUUUAAUCACGGGGUGAGUCUUAAGAAGGUUCAGGAGCCUCCCCCAGGCUCCUGGCGUUGGUGAACAGCUGCUUCAUAGAGACCCCAGCAUGCAGGCGCUGAGUGGUGGGGCAAGAGGAAAGCAUCUCAGUGCCCCGACCCAGCACCAGGCCCCGGCCCUCCGGCUUGGGGUUUGCAGAAGAGGUGUGUUUUAGAGUGGGGCAUCUUCGCGGGGCACAAGAUGUACCCAUGUCUGAAUAUUAUUUUAAAACUGUUAGUUGCUCUCUAGCAUAGAUGAAGAUGUAAGUUUAAAUGAAGAUGUAAGUAUAAAUGACAUGACUUAUUCCAACAGGUAAAAGCAAUGCCUUUUUAGGUGAUUCUGAAACAAGGGCCAGAGCAGAUUUUUUUUUUUAAUUUUGGUGAAAUUCACAUAGCAUAAAAUUAAGUUUUUUUAGGUGUACAAUUCAGUAGCAUUUAGUACAUUCACCAUGUUGUGCAAGCAUCACCUCUAUUUAGUUCUACAAUAUCUUCAUCACCCUACAAGGAAACCCUGUCCCUGUUAGCAGUCACUCCUCAUCCCCCUCCCCCAGCCCCUGGGAACCACUGAUCUAAUUUCUGUCUCUGUGGAUUUGCUUAUUCUGGAUGUUUCAUAUAAAUGGAAUUGUACAAUA
Long non-coding RNA from Lagenorhynchus albirostris (white-beaked dolphin), 1133 nucleotides. RefSeq lists it as uncharacterized. The transcript has 3 exons. Lineage: Eukaryota; Metazoa; Chordata; Mammalia; Artiodactyla; Delphinidae. The record is from RefSeq and is a predicted model, not a curated record.